Non-coding RNA from Camellia sinensis, 622 nucleotides. NCBI's taxonomy places the organism in Eukaryota, Viridiplantae, Streptophyta, Magnoliopsida, Ericales, Theaceae. The record is from RefSeq and is a predicted model, not a curated record.
UCUCUCUCUCGCUCUCGAUCUCGCAUCCUCUCUCUGUGUUCUCAAUCGAUCAUUCCUUCAAUUAAUCAAUCAAUCAAUCGAUCCAUCGAAUGGUGGAGGAGAGUUUCAAAUACAUGAUUCUGAUCAUUGACAUCUCCAUUUGCCUCGCUACAGGGAACUUUGUGAAUGUGUCAUCAUCAUCCAUCACUUCGUGUUGGACAUCCACAAUUUGCAGAAUCUCAUUAUGACUUAUAAGAGUAUAACUCAAAGCUGCUGGAGUCCACUAAUUACAUUACCAGGUGACAAGCUGUCAAGGGGGCGCGAAAAAGUCGAGCUACAGGUAGGCCUGGACGCCGACUACUUCUGAGUGGAGGGUGACUAUGCAGUCUUCAUCCAGACAUAUUUGAUGCCGCUUCUGACUGGCAUUCAUGGAGAUGAGGAGGCAAGAGCUUCUGUUGUGAGAGAAAGUCCUAGAGUGACCCGGGCGAGUAGGGCUUGUGGCAGAGGGGCUUCUUGGGCGAGGCAGAGGACUGAUUGGCUAGAGCUUCCUACCACGCUGACUUGCUGGCGACACACUGGGGACGCCUACCAGGUUCUGAUUGAGCCUGCGGCGGCUGGUCACGAGCUUGUCGGGGUCCGAGGC